Potamilus streckersoni is the source of this 80-nucleotide non-coding RNA. The record is from the annotation of a GenBank genome assembly. NCBI's taxonomy places the organism in Eukaryota, Metazoa, Mollusca, Bivalvia, Unionida, Unionidae.
UGGUGGCCUAGUGGUUAGAGCGUCCGUCCCGGAUGCAGAAGGUCGUGGGUUCGAUCACAGGCCGAGUCAUACCAUAAAAA